GAGCUGUGAUGAAAUUUGGCUUUAGCGGAGGUUGGUUCCUACGCACCCGGCUGAUAUCCAGAUUAUACGCCGUACACCUGAGCUC
Small nucleolar RNA from Raphanus sativus (radish), 85 nucleotides. RefSeq annotates it as small nucleolar RNA snoR114. The record is from RefSeq and is a predicted model, not a curated record. NCBI's taxonomy places the organism in Eukaryota, Viridiplantae, Streptophyta, Magnoliopsida, Brassicales, Brassicaceae. The transcript has a single exon.